RNAcentral lists this ribosomal RNA (644 nucleotides) under uncultured bacterium. Its description in RNAcentral is "bacterial SSU rRNA". It matches the Rfam family "Bacterial small subunit ribosomal RNA", at positions 830 to 1500 of the family's 1533-position model. The record is from RNAcentral.
UCUCGACCCUCUGUGUCAAGAAGUUAACACGAUAAGCAUUCCGCNUGGGGAGUACGAACGCAAGUUUAAAACUCAAAGGAAUUGANGGGGACCCGCACCAAGCAGUGGAGUAUGUGGUUUAAUUCGAUGCUAAGCGAAGAACCUUACCGAGGCUUGACAUCCUGCGAAGGCAGUCGAAAGACAGCUGUGCCUUCGGGAACGCAGUGACAGGUGCUGCAUGGCCGUCGUCAGCUCGUGUCGUGAGAUGUUGGGUUAAGUCCCGCAACGAGCGCAACCCUUGUUAAGUGUUGUAUUAUCACUUAAGACUGCCCCGGCAACCGGGGAGGAAGGUGAGGAUGACGUCUGGUCAGCAUGGCCCUUACGCCUCGGGCUACACACGUACUACAAUGGCUACUACAAUGCGUUUGCCAAGCGGCAACGUGGAGCUAAUCGCAUCAAAAGUAGUCUCAGUUCGGAUUGAGGGCUGAAACUCGCCCUCAUGAAGUCGGAAUUGCUAGUAAAGGCGAAUCAGCAUGUCGCCUUGAAUACGUUCCCGGGUCUUGUACACACCGCCCGUCAAAUCACGAAAGUUGGAAGUACCCGAAGCGCCCUUUUGGGUUCUAAGGUAAGUCCAGCGAUUGGGGUUAAGUCGUAACCAAGGUACC